GCAUUUCCAAGUCAACGAACGCCAAAAAUGAAGUUUCUUUACGCCAGAUGUCACAGAGAUAACUGUGCACGGAGCACCUCGGAAUCGCGCCGAGUUCAGACGACUACACUUCGUGAUUAGUUACUAAUUUGUCCAGACACAUUGCGUUUGCAACAACACCGCUAUCCCGUCAAAGUGAGCUGGCAGGCCUGACGGACAGACGGACAGACGGACAGCGGUCUGUCCGAGCCCCCGGGGCCUGCGGUAUUUAUAUCCGUGAGCCAAGACCAGGCCCCGGCAGAGACACGGCAACUAUAAAAGGAAUCUCAGAAUUCAAUAACAAAGAUAUUUACAGACGGCUCUGCCCGUAUGAUUUAACGCUGUAAGCACGUUGUGCCGAACACGGGUCAGUCUUCCCGGGUCGCGGCUACAACGCGCCCCUCGGCCCGGACGAAGCGCCCCUCGGCCCGGACGAAGUGCCCCUCGGCCCGGACGGAGCGCCCCUCGGCCCGGACGGAGCGCCUCUCAGCCCGGACGAAGCCCCCCUCGGCCCGGACGAAGCCCCCCCCCGCGGCGUCCCCGCCCGUUUGGUCCCGCUCUGGUCUCCGCGGCGCUCGUCUCGCACGUUAGCGCUCGCCGCGUUACUGCUACCCGCACGCCGCGCACACACCCCGGUCUCUCCCUCACACACAGCGCCCCGCACCCAGCCAACAGGCUCCUCCUCCUGGGCACUGUGAAUCCGUGCGGCUGUGGGGAGUGUGAGCCGCACGCUCAGGCCUACACGCACCCCAGUGCGGCUGAGAGAACCGCCAAAAUGUGCACCGACAACACGCGCGUGUCCCGCUCGCGGCUGACAUCCUGCACUACAGGCCGCAGGAGGAAGAACCUGGAAACCAGGCGGACAUUUUAUAUACAUUUAUACACCCCCCCGUGUGAUCAUCACCUGCAACACACGGCCAGUCUGUUACACGCGUGUGUCCCCCCACCGUGUGAUCAUCACCUGCAACACACGGGCAGUCUGUUACACGCGUGUGUCCCCCCACCGUGUGAUCAUCACCUGCAGCACACGGCCAGUCUGUAACACGCGUGUGUCCCCCCCCCCCGUGUGAUCAUCACCUGCAACACACGGCCAGUCUGUUACACGCGUGUGAAGGCGCUCGCAAUAAACUCACAGCCCCCAAAGUUUAGUCAGCAAUUGUCUCUCUUUAUUAAGUCUGGUGUUCUGUGCUCGGGGUUAUUCUGGAAAGACGGAGUACCAGGGAGCGGGGGAGUCUGAACGGAGAGGGGGAGAGAGAGAGAGAGAGGGAGAGAGAGAGAGAGAGAGAGCGAGAGAGAGACCUGGUGAACGCGUGUAUCCAUUAUUCCUCAUGAAGCUGUCCCGUGUCAGACAGGUGGAGACACCAGGCCUUCUGAGGGUUCAUUAGGAGUGUGCCGAGGUUCGUUUGAUAAAUUUCCGUGUCUCACCAAGUGUCUCUCCAGAGCAAUUUUAACUCCGCUCUCCCCCCCAAAAUAAAGGUGGACCGACUCCCCAUCCGUGGCUGCCCAGGGAUGUCCCACUGAAGACGGGUGAGACACACACGCACGCUAAAAUUAUUAUUCAUAACGAGGUGCCUUUACUUCCUGUGGUUUUUUAAAUUUAUUUUAUGCUCCCUUUAUUUUAAUGUUUUAAUGUUAAAUGAGUUCUGUAAGAACUGUACAGUGAACAAAGAAAUGUAUUUUCAGAAAAUUGUAUUUUCUGUAUAACAAUGUCAUAUGCAAUAUUCCUGUUUUGCAUGUCAAAUAUCACAGUGUGAAACUUAAAAUAAACAAACUCAGGAAAAUA
Anguilla rostrata (American eel) is the source of this 1801-nucleotide long non-coding RNA. RefSeq lists it as uncharacterized. The record is from RefSeq and is a predicted model, not a curated record. NCBI's taxonomy places the organism in Eukaryota, Metazoa, Chordata, Actinopteri, Anguilliformes, Anguillidae. The transcript is spliced from 2 exons.